CUGUGACUAAACAGUGUGGAACACUACGGCUAGAACAUCUGCCUAUCGGGUCAGAAUGGGUGGUGUAGACCAGCCCCAAGCCCUUACUGGCUCACCCUGCGCUGAGGCUUGCAGACCGCAAUGAAAAGGAAUGGACAAGUCUGCGCUCAAAAGUGGUGUAAGUCAAAGCAAGCAGCCGGAAGGCAGCUCUCGCAGCAGGACCAUGUGUACCACGACGGUGCAGGCACAGAUGAGGGCAGAAGCAUCCCCAGGACCGGUAUCUCCCUAUGCAUUCGUCACUCUGGAGAAGCUUGAUCAGGAGCAGAUUUUGAUCUGCAUUCUUGCAAAUGCCAGUUAAAUCAGAGAUGGGAAUUCCACAGCAAAGACUGUUUGAGAAACAGAGCAGUAGUAGCCCCAAAACAGAAAGGAACUACAGCGGAAGACAGAGGGCUCCCUGGAGGGAGGGAAAUAGGCUGUAGGUGUUAUGCAGUGGCUUUCAAAGUAAACUAUUAAAGGAAUUUUGCCUAUUGUAGUCCUGGUCCCAAAUUGGCCACAUUACAGGGAGGCAGCUAGGAGAAAGUUCUGCUUCCAGCAAUACUUGUGGGCAAACUGGGUUAUUCACCUAAUGGCUACAGGCAAUAUACGUACAAUUUAUGACAUACUGAGGACUUUUUCCUCUUAUUAAAAAAAAAGGAAUCACAACACACAAAAAAGGGUAAAAUCAAUAACGGAAUUCCUCAUCCUGUGCACCUUUUUUCUAAAUCAAACCUGCAUUUGCUUUAAAAAAGUAAAACUAUAAAAACAAAGAUACAUUAGAAUACUCUACUGUUCAGUAAAUGACUUAUAGGCAAUAUUUAUGAUGGAAAAAAAAUGCAUCAAGCCCUUCCUCUGACAAAAAUGAAGCACCCCAAAGUUCAUUCUGUACCAAGGAAUGCCACUUCUUUUGCUGUUUAUUUAAAUCACUCACAUCACCACAAUUUGAAUAUGCAUUAUUUGUCUUCAAAUACCUAAUCAUAAAUCUAGACUAAUGCAGAAAAAAAAUCCUAGUAAGAAUGCUGUGCCGUUGAUAAGCUAAAAACAGCGUAUCAUGAGAAGGCAAACUAAUCUUUCUGUUUACUUUGCAAAUAAUCCAUUAGCUAAACUUCUAUUUUAGGCUGGAUGCUUGAUACUUAACACUUGAAAGUCCAAAUACCCUUCAUAUCCCUUAUAACAGAGAAGAAGAUUGUAAAAUGCCUUUGGUGCAUCAGCUUAACAUUGCAUGAAUGUUUUAAAGAAUCUCACUAGUACUACAGGCAAUGUAAGUGGGCUUGUUUGUGUCCUUUAAUACUCUAAGUGUCAUUUCAUUCUUUAAAGGGGUU
Molecule: long non-coding RNA, 1337 nt
Filed under: Numida meleagris (helmeted guineafowl)
Lineage: Eukaryota; Metazoa; Chordata; Aves; Galliformes; Numididae
Description: lncRNA (ENSNMEG00000011531.1)
Source: RNAcentral